Long non-coding RNA from Ornithorhynchus anatinus (platypus), 1401 nucleotides. RefSeq lists it as uncharacterized. The transcript has 3 exons. Lineage: Eukaryota; Metazoa; Chordata; Mammalia; Monotremata; Ornithorhynchidae. The record is from RefSeq and is a predicted model, not a curated record.
ACCUUUCCCUCCACCGGGUUCAGCCCCUUUCUGGGGUCACCCUGGCGGAGGCGAACCCGGAUCGCACGUUGCUUUUGUGAGUGUGUAGAGCAUCCCCCCGCACCUCUAGGCGACGACAGAGCGGGAGUCCCGCCAGAGAAGCGCGGGAGAGAUCUCUGAUGAAACUCUCGAUUGAAUCCUGCCGUGAUGGAGAUGGUAUGUUGGUGGAGCUGACGGGUCCGGGAUUGUUCAUAUUGCCUCCUACCCCCAGCUCCCUCCCUCUCACCUGGGAAGGCUGACAACCUGCCGCUGGUGGGAUUAAAUCAAUAUCAAGAACACCCUUCCUGAGCAUCCUCAAACACCGGGGGCCUACACUGAACCCCGCAAAAGGAAGUGCUGAUGAAAGAGGAUGACCAAGCAGAGAAAUUUUAGGUUGACCUUCAUCUGAGUCAUUGCCGUGGAUCCUGGCGAUUGAUUCCAGCCCAGAAAACCCAACUUCGCCGAUUGAAAAGCUGCUCUGAGUUUUCCGCUGCAAGAAGAAGCCGGCUCUUUUGAAUACAGAGCUGAAGGUCGCUACGUUUUUGAAGCCCGUUGACUUUUCUCCCGGGAGUUUUGUAACCCGUGGCGCUGCAAGUUUCUCUAUGUACCAGGAGGAAAAGAAGACCCUUCAGUUUCAGAAAGAAGAAAAGGGAAGCCAGAUGCAAACCAUUUCAAGAAGGGAUAUUCUCAACCCCAUUCCAACUGCACUUGGAAUAAUCUGAAAUUUAGUUACCGUGGACCCCACCACUGAAACAACGGUCAAGUCUCCUGCUUUGUCUCUUAAAAGAAACAAAACCAUAUGCAAAUACUGCCAACAGCGUACAAAACAUCAGGGUGUUCCCCGACUCUACCAAAAGCGUUUAUACCCGUUUCAUUUAGUAUUCUGGGGACUCGUGCUUCUCCAGGUAUAUUGUAUUAUGCAUUGUUUCUCGGGGAACCGUGGCACUUUCUGAAUUCGGUGCGGGCUAAAAUUCCGCCUCUUGAGCAAUGCGGACUGGCUUUUCACUUACUCCCUCGAAUCGUCCAAACGGGAGACAAUUAUCACUUCAUUAAUCUCCUGGGAAAUCAGAGCUUCAAGCUUCCAGGUAUGUGUCAGAGAGUUACAGUGCAGCUCUCAGUUGCACAAAGUGAGGAUGAGCGUGGUACACGGUCCAGGAUUUCUGCAGCCAAGACGUCUCAGCAGCACACUGAAUUGACUUGAUGGAUAUCGCUCAUUCUAACUUGCUGAAGCACACACGCACACUUUCCUCAUUUAGAGGUUUAUAAACCUGGUAGCAGGGACUUAAAAACGUGGAUUUUUUUUCUGCAAAUAUCUUUAUAGAUUGUCUUUAAAAUAUGGCACAACUGAUGCUUCCAUUUAAGGGAAAUUCUCGAUAUAAGAAA